Small nuclear RNA from Saimiri boliviensis boliviensis (Bolivian squirrel monkey), 148 nucleotides. Its record names the gene U4. It matches the Rfam family "U4 spliceosomal RNA". Rfam says of the family: U4 small nuclear RNA (U4 snRNA) is a component of the major U2-dependent spliceosome. NCBI's taxonomy places the organism in Eukaryota, Metazoa, Chordata, Mammalia, Primates, Cebidae. The record is from Ensembl.
AGCUUUGCACAGUGGCAGUAUCAUAGCCAAUGUGGUUUAUCCAAGGCGCAAUUACUGCAAAUUGAAAACUUUUCCCAAGUCAUCACAGGCAACUGUGAUGACUUGCAACACAGUUGGCAUCGGCAAUUUUUGACAGUCUCUACGGAGA